GUGGGGAAUAUUGGACAAUGGGCGCAAGCCUGAUCCAGCCAUGCCGCGUGAGUGAUGAAGGCCCUAGGGUUGUAAAGCUCUUUCACCGGUGAAGAUAAUGACGGUAACCGGAGAAGAAGCCCCGGCUAACUUCGUGCCAGCAGCCGCGGUAAUACGAAGGGGGCUAGCGUUGUUCGGAAUUACUGGGCGUAAAGCGCACGUAGGCGGACAUUUAAGUCAGGGGUGAAAUCCCAGAGCUCAACUCUGGAACUGCCUUUGAUACUGGGUGUCUUAAGUAUGGAAGAGGUAAGUGGAAUUCCGAGUGUAGAGGUGAAAUUCGUAGAUAUUCGGAGGAACACCAGUGGCGAAGGCGGCUUACUGGUCCAUUACUGACGCUGAGGUGCGAAAGCGUGGGGAGCAAACAGGAUUAGAAACCCGAGUAGUCC
This 425-nucleotide ribosomal RNA is filed under the name uncultured bacterium. RNAcentral describes it as "partial 16S ribosomal RNA". It matches the Rfam family "Bacterial small subunit ribosomal RNA", at positions 354 to 796 of the family's 1533-position model. The record is from RNAcentral.